This is a long non-coding RNA of Orcinus orca (killer whale), 6496 nucleotides long. RefSeq lists it as uncharacterized. NCBI's taxonomy places the organism in Eukaryota, Metazoa, Chordata, Mammalia, Artiodactyla, Delphinidae. The transcript has 4 exons. The record is from RefSeq and is a predicted model, not a curated record.
GGUUUCAGAGGUGGGGUUAGGAGCUGCAGCCUCCAGAGAAACCAGGCGAUAAAACCCCAAUACUUCAGGCUUCAUCUGGAACCAGCACAUAAGCAAAUGAGGACUCACCAUCCUCCCUGCCCACAACACCCUCUCCCUGGGACCAGAGACGCACUACCUUCCUGAGGCUAGGCAUCCCCUCAUCCCGUCUCCCCUCAGGCUUCCUGGUACCUAUGAGCAGAGACCACAGGUCUGGCUGAGGAUACCUUCAAGGCACCUUAGGUCAGCCUGAGUUGACGACCGUGACCAUGACGCUCAAGAAACCAGGGCUCAGAGAGGUUAAGCCACUUGCCCAAGGCCCCCACCUGGACGGGACUCCUGCUUUAUAUAUAGGACGCAGGUCCUGGAUCAUUCAGGACUAUGACUUCAUAGCUGUACGUGGGUUACACCGCUGAUGAGGUAUCCGUCCUCCACGAUCCCUCAGCAGGGGUUGCCCCACACGCGAGGGAUUGUGCAGGUGCUGGAGAUGGUGGUGAGCGAAAGAGGUCCCAUCCUUGCCACCCUGAAAGGCAGUUGGAGAAUAAAGGGCUUAAAGCACAGGUGCAACACCAGGUCUUCAAUGGCUCCAGGUCCCCUACCCCCACCCCAUGUUCCAUGACUGACAGCUGCCCCAGACAGACAUCUUUUGGAAUAUCUGCUCCACUCACAAUGACCAACUUCACUACAGGGAUGAAUGAACCCCAGUAUCCAGCAUUCUAUCCUGUGACCCACCCCUAUGGGUACAGUUGAUUGGAUAGUGGUGAGCUCCAGGUUCAAGCUAGGCCCCAAAUAUUCUCCUUGGGCAAUUUAAAGUUAGACUAGAGACUCCAUGUCAGCCUUGGGGCAUCUACUCACGGGAUGCUAAGGGUCCCCUUCUGCCAACUUACUGGCAAUGGGAGGCUGGUCUAUAGAGAGGCAAGAAUAAGAGAGGGAGAGGGGGUUCCAGCCAUGUCCCAGGUCUUAGUUCAAGUCCUUCUCGAGCUCUGGUUGUAUCUCAGCCCUGAGAUUCCAUGACACACCAGGAGAGAUCGGGGGCUUAAUAUUUGUUAUUUGGGUAUUAGAAGGGUGUCUGGCUUCUGCAAGUGGGAGAAGACAGGGACAUCUGGGUUCUUAGUGCAUAAAAAACCACCUCUCCUGGUAUGUGUGGCUGGGCCACCCAGUGUGGGGUCUAGAGGAAGAGGUGGCCCCCAGAAAUGGAGGAGCAGGGCAGGGCCCUGCAGACCGAGGAUGACAAGUCUAGAGAGGCAUGGAGGUAAGAGAAAGAAGGGCAGAGAUCUGCUUAUAGUCCUGACACCAGGGUCUGCAGCUAAUGGAAGAUGUGGGGGAACUCUACCAACUUUGCCAUGUUCAUGAUUUUACUCUCACCUUCACACAGCUGUGAAAAUUCUCAGAAAACCUCAUUAUGUUUCAUAAGUAAGAAGAAAACGUAGGAGGCUUUGUCUGGUCCUGACGUGGCUGGCAGAGGAGAAGGCAGGUCAGAAGCGACAGGCAGCCCUGCCCUUGAGGUCCAGAAAGGAGCGGGGAGGGGCGUGGGAUCUCUGCAGUGACAGGCAGCCCUGUGCCUGGACAGGGACUAGCAGUGGUGGCUUUGGGUGAGCAGGAGCCCCCCGGGCCUCAGGGUCCCUCUUCCCUUCCUCCCUCCCCAGCUCCCUGGCUAAGCAGAGAGUUGGACGUGAUUGUGGGAGAACACCUUUAUUCUGCCCGUGUCCCAGGUUCCCCAGGGCAGGAGGGAGAGGCUGGUGUGGUCAGGGCUGCAGGGGCUGCAGCCCAGAGUCAGGCUGGGGACGAGAGCACCGUGCUUCUUCCGGCGUGGCUGGAGACGGCUCACCAGAGUGGGUCACUUGGUCUGCAGCUUUAAGUCUGCUUCUGUCCCCAGGAGGGAAGGCAGCCGCAUCCCAGUGAAGGGGUGGAAGCCUGGGACCUGCUCUUGCUCUUGGAUCUGGUCUCUGAGGCGCUGGAUCUCCAGGCGCUGCAUCUCAAUGAUUCUCCCGGUUUCUUCUUGCUCAUUCAGUCUCAUGGUGGGAGGCAAGCCUGGUAAGUCUUUGCCGGACACUGUAGGGGACAGAGCAGGACUAGUGUGGGCCUGUUACUGGGCUGCUGCAAAGCUUAUCCUCCCUUCCCCCUCUAACCUCCAUCCCCGCACACAUUUAUGCAGCACCUGCUAUGGGGUAGACACUCCAACCCAGAUGCUAGGGAGAUGGAGAUGAGCCAUUUCACUGUCUAGCAGAGAAGGAGAAACGAAGAGACAUGCUUUGGAGCGAUAAGGCAAAUGCUAAACCUGACCUCAGCCCGGCCCCUCUCCUGAGCCCGGCAGUGUACCUGCCCCAAGCCCCCUCCAUUGGGGGCUGCUCAGUCCCCACACCCCAAGCAGAGUGGCACUCUCCUAUUGACCCGGGUUGGCCUCCAAGCUGCCAGUCCUCCUCCUCACGUAAACCUGCUCCCGGAGACCCCUCUCUAGCCCUCCUGCUGUGGCCACUGACUCAUGUUCCCUGAGGACGCCCCUCGAGACUCUCAGCCAUCCUCCUGUCUCAGUGCUGUCCUGGGUGAUGCUGGUGUCCACGAGGGUCCACGGCUCACCCCACUCCCCGGCCUCACGAGGCUAAACUCUCAGCAUUAAUUGUUUGGCCUGCACGUCAGCUCCACACCCACUCUGUGGCUUCCCCUCCCUUGCCACGCCCAGGAUCUUUCACUCUAGUGUUCCAUUCACCACUUCUUAGACUGAAUUUAGACCUCAUCUUCCUGGACAACUCCAUUUUUUACCUACUAAAUGGGUUCCUCUUAGAUUCACUCCUUUUCUGACCAGGUAGACCCACAGUGAGUUUCUUCUCCCAUCUAGAUGCCUCAUCCCUCUGCCCCAGGUACCCUGCCCAGCCUACAUCCAAGAUAAUCUGAGCAUCCAGGGUCGCCACUUUCACAUCUGGCCUGCUGUGCGUUACCGAUAAAAGUAACACACGAGAUUCAAGUUCUUGGUUUCCAACCCCAGACGGACUUUAUGUCCAUAGUCUGCAAACUCUCAUUCCCCACAGAAGCACUUAGGAACUUCGAUCUUUACUCCAACUCCUCUGCCCUACUUAGAAAAAAAAAUUGUGGUAAAAUCUAUAUAGCAUUUACUAACUUAACCAUUAAAAAAAAAUUUAUGUACUUAUUUAUUUAUUUGGCCGCACGGGUCUUAGUUGCAGCACUCGGGAUCUUCAUUGCUGCGUGUGGGAUCUUUUAGUUGUGGCAUGCGAACUCUUAGUUGCGGCAUGUGGGAUCUCUAGUUGUGGCAUGCGAACUCUUAGUUGCGGCAUGUGGGAUCUUUAGUUGCGGCAUGAGAACUCUUAGUUGCGGCAUGUGGGAUCUAGUUCCCUGACCAGGGAUCGAACCUGGGCCCCCUGCAUUGGGAGCGCAGAGUCUUAGCGACCGGACCACCAGGGAAGUCCCUUAACCAUUUUUAAGUGUAUGGUUUAGUAGUGUUAAGUACAUUCACAUUGUUGUGCAACUAAUCUCCAGAACUCUUCUCAUCCCGAAAAACUCAAACCCCAUCCCCAUUAAACAGCUCCCCAGUCCCCCCACCCCCAGCCCCUGGUAGCCACCAUUCUGCGUUCUGUCUUUAUGAAUUUGAUGACUCUAGGUAUCUCAGAUAAGUGGAAUCAUACGGUAUUUGUCCUUUUGUGUCUGGCUUAGCAUAAUGUCCUUAAGGCUCAUCUAUGUUGUAUCAUAUGUCAGAAUUUCCUUCCUUUUUAAGGUUGAAUAAUAUUUCAUUGCAUAUAUAGACCACAUUUUGUUUAUCCAUUCAUCUAUUGUUGGAAAUUUGGGUUGCUUCCACCUUUUGGCUACUGUGAAUAAUGUUGCUAUGAACAUGAGUGUACAAAUAUCCUCUUUGAGACCCUGCUUUCACUUCUUUUGGGUAUAAACCCAGAAGUGCAAUUUCUGGUUCAUAUGGUAACUCUGUUAUUAAUUUUUUGAGGAAACACCUUACUGUUUUCCUGUUUUACAUUCCAAUCAGCAGUGCACCAGGGUUCCAAUUUCUCCAGACCCUUGUCAACACUCGUUACUUUCUGGGUUUUUUGUUUGUUUUUUCUUUUUGGUUUGGUUUAUUUUGACAGUAGCCAUCCUAAUGAGUGUGACACAGUAUCUCAUUGUGGCUUUGAUUUCAUUUCCCUAAUUGUUAGUAAUACUGAGCAUUUUUCAUGUGCUUCUUGGCCAUCUGUGUAUCUUCUUGGAGAAGUGUCUAUAGUCCUUUGCCCAUUUUUAAAUCAGGUUUGUUUGUUUGUUUGUUUUGGAGUUGUAGGAGUUCUUUAUAUAUUCUGGACAUUGACCCCUUAUUAGCUGUAUGAUUUCUCUCAUUCCCUAGGUUGACUUUUCACUCUGUUGAUUGUGUUCUUUGAUGCACAGAAGUUUUAAAUUUUGACAGUCUAAUUUAUUAUAUAUUUUCUUUUGUUGCCUGUGCUUUUGAUAUCAUAUCCAAGAAGUUAUUGCCAAAUCCAUCCUCUCCUCUUCUCUUAAUGGAUGACAUUGCCACCGUCUUCACUGAGGAACGGUGUCCCCAACUCCCUCACCACAGUCAAUCUUCUCUCAGUGGAAGAGGGUUCUCUUUCCUAUCUGCUGCCAACCCCUUCCCUGGAGGAAAAACUAGAAAAGAACAGACGAUGGUGGCCAAGGAAGAGAGUAUUUUAAAGAGGAAGUGGUCAGCAGUGGCCAGUGGCCAGCUUGCCUUGGCCUCUAAUUGACCUGAUGGGGCCAGCAUUCAGAGUACUCAACUUAUCCCAUCCUUCCCAGGAGAAGUCUGGAUCCUUCUCUGUCUGCCUUUGCUCCUUGCCUCUUCUCCUUUACUGCAAUUUCUAGACUCUUGAUCUUUCUAGGCUCUUGAUUUCUUCUCUUUUCUAGGUCUUGACCCUUCAUCCACCUUCUGCUACUGGUUGUCCCUGGUAACCAUCUCCUCAGUCAAGCUGUGGCCUAGCCAUGGAGCCCUGGGAAAAGUAGCACCCCUGGGAAGGUAUAGCACACAAAAGCCUACCAGCCCAUCCACCUACCAGCCCCUCCACCUUCUUGGGCCUGCGUCACUCGCCUCUGCCUAGUUUCUGUUUACGUCCCUGCCUGCUUUUUUCAUAUACUUAUUAUAGGCAUCUGUAUAUUUUCUUUGGAGAAAUGUCUAUUCAAUUCCUUUGCUUAUUAAAAAAAUUUUUUUUGUUGUUGUUCUAGUUAAGUUGUAAGAGUUCCUUAUAUAUUCUGGAUGUCAACACUUUAUCAGAUAUGUGAUUUUCAAAUAUCUUCUCCCAUACCAUAGGUUGCCUUUUCACACUUUUCGAUUGUGUUCUUUGAUGCACAAAAGCUUUAAAUUUGGAUGUAGUCCAAUUUAUCUACUUUCUUUUUGUUGUCUGUACUUUUGAUGUCCUAUCUAAGAAAUCAUUGCAAAAUCUAAUAUAAUGAAGUUUCCCCCUAUAUUUUCUUCUAUGAGUUUUAUAGUUUUAGCUCUUAUGUUUAAGUCUUUCAUCCACUUUGAGUUAAAUUUUGUAUAUGAUGUAAGGUAAGGGUCCAACUUCAUUCCUUUGCAUGUGGGUAUCCAGUUUUCCCAGCACCAUUUGUUGAAAAGAUUGUCCUUUCCUCAUUGAAUAGUCUUGACACCCACAUUGAAAAUCAUUUGACCAUAUAUGUGAGUGUUUAUUUCUGGGCUCUGUAUUCUAUUCCAUUGGUCUAUAUGUCUAUAUUUAUGCCAGUACCAUACUGUUUUGAUUACUAUAGCUUUGCUGUAAAUUUUGAAAUAGGAAGUGUGAGGCCUUCAACUUUGUUCUUUUUCAAGAGUUUUGGCUAUUUGGGGUACCUUGAAACUCCCAAUGAAUUUUAGAAUGGAUGUUCUAUUUCUGCAAAAAAAUGUCAUUGGGAUUUUGAUAGGGAUUACAUUGAAUGUGUAGAUCACUUUAGAUAGUAUUGACAUUUUAAUAAAUCUUCCAGUCCAUGAACAAAAGAUGUCUUUCCAUUUGCUGGUCCUAAGCCAGACUUAGGUUCUUCAUGAUCAAGGCAGACAAUUGGUAAUACCUGUCUUCAGCCACUACUGAUGAAACCUCCCUUGAGUAAAGCUCUAUGACACAAGUGGCAUGAUAUUUGGUUUGCUUCAGAAUAAUCUACUAUGGGUGUGGGAGGGAAUAAUUGGGGGGGUGUGGCGAUAGCGAUGAAACAAGAGCGACCGUUGUUCAAGUCAGGGAAUGAAUUCAUGGGGAUUCAUUAGAAUUUCUCUCAAUUUUUGUCUAUGCCUGAUAGUUUCCAACAGUAAUAAGAAGAAGCUGGCUGUAUCAUACAGCAUCCUGAGGAGGUCUCCACUGGUUAUUUGCUAGGCCGCUGGGGCAUAUUUGAAAUAAUUUUCUAAAAGAGAAGUUUUGUGAUUGUUCACAGACACAUCUAUGCUUCACCUCCAACUGAAGAUGGUUUCACCUCCAAGAAGUCAAGUUCUGUCUUUUUUUUUAACAGAUUGAUUAAUUAAAUUAAAUUAAUUUAUUUA